AGUGUCAUUUACUAAAAUGAUAUCUGAAAUAGAUUCAUGGUUACCCUAAAUUCCCCUUAAACCCUGCGAAUGAUAUCGGAAUCCACCAUAUAGAAUAGAGCAGAAAACACAAUACAUUUCAGAGAAUCAGAGAACUCAGAACUAAUUUCUCGCUCACCAACAAACUCAAAGAUGGCUUGGCGCGGAUCUGCAUCUAGAUCUUUCUUCUCCGCUGCAAGAGCUAUGCGUUCAACAGCAGCACCACUUCCUCGUAUCCGUCCAACACCAGUAAUGGCUACUCCUCGUAUCCAAGCACCUCGUUUCAAUUUUUCCAAUCCAAGGACUUUGGGUGAAAUAGGGUGUACUCAGUCACUACUAACGUUGCAUAGCAUUGUUGCCGCUCCUCGUCUCACAUCCCACCUCGCAGUCAACGUGCGAGCGUGCUGUGAGCUCUCACAGGGUACCUUCUGCCGCACUUGUCCAGAUCGCUAGGAACGGCAAGGAUAGGUGACGCAGAGAGAGAGUGAAAAAGCCGCGAGAUGAUGAUUACUAAAACUUGUACUUGACAGGAUUGUGGUAUCUUUUGAGUGCUUUGGUAUCUUGAGAUCUAUGACAGUCAGGUUAAUCUCAUGGAAGCUCUUUUCGCUUGCGAGUAAGAUAAAAACAAAUAAGAAUCUUGUCUUUUUAUGUCGACAUAUAUAAGAAACUCCAUUACCAGCUAAAUUUUUAAAGAGGCAUUUGGUUCAAUUCAAUUUAUCUGGUGUAACUAUCUUUUGAAUUUGAGUUGUGAUUUUAGAAAUCCAUGUUAUCUUGUUUA
Papaver somniferum (opium poppy) is the source of this 796-nucleotide RNA transcript. RefSeq lists it as uncharacterized. Lineage: Eukaryota; Viridiplantae; Streptophyta; Magnoliopsida; Ranunculales; Papaveraceae. The transcript has 4 exons. The record is from RefSeq and is a predicted model, not a curated record.